This is a long non-coding RNA of Xenia sp. Carnegie-2017, 126 nucleotides long. RefSeq lists it as uncharacterized. The record is from RefSeq and is a predicted model, not a curated record. The transcript is spliced from 3 exons. NCBI's taxonomy places the organism in Eukaryota, Metazoa, Cnidaria, Anthozoa, Malacalcyonacea, Xeniidae.
GAAGAAAAUCGAAAGAAGCGAAAAGCAGACGUCGAAAACAAGCCAGAGGAAAUAAAAUGUAACACAUGCAAUGACGUGGGGCACGCCCCGAAGAUUGCCCUAGCAAACCGCGUCGAGGGACGCGGG